RNA transcript from Rhinopithecus roxellana (golden snub-nosed monkey), 1114 nucleotides. It is a transcript of the gene named mitochondrial import receptor subunit TOM22 homolog pseudogene, with no coding region annotated. NCBI's taxonomy places the organism in Eukaryota, Metazoa, Chordata, Mammalia, Primates, Cercopithecidae. The record is from RefSeq and is a predicted model, not a curated record. The transcript has a single exon.
AGAGCCUACAGUCAUGGCCGCCGCCGUUGCUGCUGCCGGUGCCGGGGAACCCCAGUCCCCGGACGAAUUGCUCCCGAAAGGCGACGCGGAGAAGCCUGAGGAGGAGCUGGAGGAGGACGACGAUGAGGAGCUAGAUGAGACCCUGUCGGAGAGACUAUGGCGCCUGACGGAGAUGUUUCCGGAGAGGGUCCGGUCCGCGGCCGGAGCCACUUUUGAUCUUUCCCUCUUUGUGGCUCAAAAAAUGUACAGGUUUUCCAGGGCAGCCUUGUGGAUUGGGACCACUUCCUUUAUGAUCCUGGUUCUUCCCGUUGUCUUUGAGACUGAGAAGUUGCAAAUGGAGCAACAGCAGCAACUGCAGCAGCGGCAGAUACUUCUAGGGCCUAACACAGGGCUCUCAGGAGGAAUGCCAGGGGCUCUACCCUCACUUCCUGGAAAGAUCUAGUUUGUUACUGCUGUUUGAGCUGUCUCGGUGGGAUAAGUUUGAAAUUCAAGUGUUUGAACUGCUGAUUAUUUGGAUUUUUUUUUUUUUUUAACUUUGGCACAUUGAUCUAUCUAAACCUGGUGGGGAGAAUUCUCCUCACAUUGUCUCAUGGAAAGACUCAACUUGCAACUGUGCCCUCCACACUAUCCUUACUUCUGUCUUCACUCUGAUACCAGAGUGUAGCCAUGCAGACGGUUAUUCCUGCUCUGGCCACCCCACUCCUUUCACCAAAUUGCUCCUAACUAGAAGAUGUCACUUUCCCCUUGUGGGUAGGAACCGAUGCCAGUGGGAGGGAUGUGCCCCUGACCAUUAACGACUGCCUUUUUUAUUUUUAUUUUUUUUUAAAGAAUGGAGCUGUUGGGGAGGGACAUGCACGCAAUGUGAAAGACAAAAUGCAUUACACCUGUAGUGUAAAGCGGCCACUAUGAAUCCCUAUGUAUGAGAGGAGGGAGGCUGGCUGCAGCUUCAGCCACAGAAUGGGGACUGUGGAAGACAGAUCAGGAGUUCAUUUCCCCUGCACAGUUUGGUUGUUAGACCUGUGUGUGUGUUUAAAAAAAACAGAAGUCAGUGCUCACUUUUUGUAUUUAAAUAUUAAAAAUGAUUCCAACUGAAAAAAAAAAAAAAAAAAAAAAA